GGUUAAGCGACUAAGCGUACACGGUGGAUGCCCUGGCAGUCAGAGGCGAUGAAGGGCGUGCUAAUCUGCGAUAAGCGCCGGUAAGGUGAUAUGAACCGUUAUAACCGGCGAUACCCGAAUGGGGAAACCCAGUGUGAUUCGUCACACUAUCAUUAACUGAAUCCAUAGGUUAAUGAGGCGAACCGGGGGAACUGAAACAUCUAAGUACCCCGAGGAAAAGAAAUCAACCGAGAUUCCCCCAGUAGCGGCGAGCGAACGGGGAGGAGCCCAGAGCCUGAAUCAGCAUGUGUGUUAGUGGAAGCGUCUGGAAAGGCGCGCGAUACAGGGUGACAGCCCCGUACACAAAAGCGCAUGUGCUGUGAGCUCGAUGAGUAGGGCGGGACACGUGGUAUCCUGUCUGAAUAUGGGGGGACCAUCCUCCAAGGCUAAAUACUCCUGACUGACCGAUAGUGAACCAGUACCGUGAGGGAAAGGCGAAAAGAACCCCGGCGAGGGGAGUGAAAAAGAACCUGAAACCGUGUACGUACAAGCAGUGGGAGCACAGGUUUACCUGUGUGACUGCGUACCUUUUGUAUAAUGGGUCAGCGACUUAUAUUCUGUAGCAAGGUUAACCGAAUAGGGGAGCCGGAGGGAAACCGAGUCUUAAUUGGGCGUUAAGUUGCAGGGUAUAGACCCGAAACCCGGUGAUCUAGCCAUGGGCAGGUUGAAGGUUGGGUAACACUAACUGGAGGACCGAACCGACUAAUGUUGAAAAAUUAGCGGAUGACCUGUGGCUGGGGGUGAAAGGCCAAUCAAACCGGGAGAUAGCUGGUUCUCCCCGAAAGCUAUUUAGGUAGCGCCUCGUGAAUUCAUCUCCGGGGGUAGAGCACUGUUUCGGCUAGGGGGCCAUCCCGGCUUACCAACCCGAUGCAAACUGCGAAUACCGGAGAAUGUUAUCACGGGAGACACACGGCGGGUGCUAACGUCCGUCGUGAAGAGGGAAACAACCCAGACCGCCAGCUAAGGUCCCAAAGUCAUGGUUAAGUGGGAAACGAUGUGGGAAGGCCCAGACAGCCAGGAUGUUGGCUUAGAAGCAGCCAUCAUUUAAAGAAAGCGUAAUAGCUCACUGGUCGAGUCGGCCUGCGCGGAAGAUGUAACGGGGCUAAACCAUGCACCGAAGCUGCGGCAGCGACGCUGAUGCGUUGUUGGGUAGGGGAGCGUUCUGUAAGCCUGUGAAGGUGGCCUGUGAGGGUUGCUGGAGGUAUCAGAAGUGCGAAUGCUGACAUAAGUAACGAUAAAGCGGGUGAAAAGCCCGCUCGCCGGAAGACCAAGGGUUCCUGUCCAACGUUAAUCGGGGCAGGGUGAGUCGACCCCUAAGGCGAGGCCGAAAGGCGUAGUCGAUGGGAAACGGGUUAAUAUUCCCGUACUUGGUGUUACUGCGAAGGGGGGACGGAGAAGGCUAUGUUGGCCGGGCGACGGUUGUCCCGGUUUAAGCGUGUAGGUGUGUGUUCCAGGUAAAUCCGGUUCACUUUAACACUGAGGCGUGACGACGAGGCACUACGGUGCUGAAGCAACAAAUGCCCUGCUUCCAGGAAAAGCCUCUAAGCAUCAGGUAACAUCAAAUCGUACCCCAAACCGACACAGGUGGUCAGGUAGAGAAUACCAAGGCGCUUGAGAGAACUCGGGUGAAGGAACUAGGCAAAAUGGUGCCGUAACUUCGGGAGAAGGCACGCUGAUAUGUAGGUGAAGCGGUUUACCCGUGGAGCUGAAAUCAGUCGAAGAUACCAGCUGGCUGCAACUGUUUAUUAAAAACACAGCACUGUGCAAACACGAAAGUGGACGUAUACGGUGUGACGCCUGCCCGGUGCCGGAAGGUUAAUUGAUGGGGUCAGCGCAAGCGAAGCUCCUGAUCGAAGCCCCGGUAAACGGCGGCCGUAACUAUAACGGUCCUAAGGUAGCGAAAUUCCUUGUCGGGUAAGUUCCGACCUGCACGAAUGGCGUAAUGAUGGCCAGGCUGUCUCCACCCGAGACUCAGUGAAAUUGAACUCGCUGUGAAGAUGCAGUGUACCCGCGGCAAGACGGAAAGACCCCGUGAACCUUUACUAUAGCUUGACACUGAACAUUGAGCCUUGAUGUGUAGGAUAGGUGGGAGGCUUUGAAGCGUGGACGCCAGUCUGCGUGGAGCCGACCUUGAAAUACCACCCUUUAAUGUUUGAUGUUCUAACGUGGACCCGUAAUCCGGGUUGCGGACAGUGUCUGGUGGGUAGUUUGACUGGGGCGGUCUCCUCCUAAAGAGUAACGGAGGAGCACGAAGGUUGGCUAAUCCUGGUCGGACAUCAGGAGGUUAGUGCAAUGGCAUAAGCCAGCUUGACUGCGAGCGUGACGGCGCGAGCAGGUGCGAAAGCAGGUCAUAGUGAUCCGGUGGUUCUGAAUGGAAGGGCCAUCGCUCAACGGAUAAAAGGUACUCCGGGGAUAACAGGCUGAUACCGCCCAAGAGUUCAUAUCGACGGCGGUGUUUGGCACCUCGAUGUCGGCUCAUCACAUCCUGGGGCUGAAGUAGGUCCCAAGGGUAUGGCUGUUCGCCAUUUAAAGUGGUACGCGAGCUGGGUUUAGAACGUCGUGAGACAGUUCGGUCCCUAUCUGCCGUGGGCGCUGGAGAACUGAGGGGGGCUGCUCCUAGUACGAGAGGACCGGAGUGGACGCAUCACUGGUGUUCGGGUUGUCAUGCCAAUGGCACUGCCCGGUAGCUAAAUGCGGAAGAGAUAAGUGCUGAAAGCAUCUAAGCACGAAACUUGCCCCGAGAUGAGUUCUCCCUGAGACUUAAAGUCUCCUGAAGGAACGUUGAAGACGACGACGUUGAUAGGCCGGGUGUGUAAGCGCAGCGAUGCGUUGAGCUAACCGGUACUAAUGAACCGUGAGGCUUAACCUU
Molecule: ribosomal RNA, 2908 nt
Filed under: Salmonella enterica subsp. enterica serovar Muenchen
Lineage: Bacteria; Pseudomonadati; Pseudomonadota; Gammaproteobacteria; Enterobacterales; Enterobacteriaceae
Also listed under: 2 other names
Description: 23S ribosomal RNA
Rfam family: Bacterial large subunit ribosomal RNA
Source: RNAcentral